RNAcentral lists this unclassified non-coding RNA (198 nucleotides) under plant metagenome. Its description in RNAcentral is "partial contains small subunit ribosomal RNA and internal transcribed spacer 1". The stretch from base 1 to 46 matches the Rfam family "Eukaryotic small subunit ribosomal RNA", at positions 1786 to 1831 of the family's 1831-position model. The record is from RNAcentral.
AAGUCGUAACAAGGUUUCCGUAGGUGAACCUGCGGAAGGAUCAUUAGUGAAUAUUAGCGCAUCUCUUCGGAGAGCGUGACCUCCACUUUCUAACUCUGUGCAUUUAUUGGCGGAAGAACUUGAGCAAUCGAGCGUCUUCUGCGGCUCAUUUUAUAACACUAGUUAAAAGUAUGUAACGAAAUAUCGAAACAAAAAAAA